GCCCAGCUCGCGCCCGACUUGUCCGCACGUGGCGCGCGCAGCUUCCGGCCGUGGACCGUGUAGUGUGGCGCUCCCAUCUAUACGGGGGGAAAAAAACCCACCUACAAAGUUCUGUAAUGUAUUCGUACGGUUUAAGGCGAUUUUAAAUGACCCCAGAGCUGCGCCGACGCGAUGGUGUAGCCAAAUCUCAUGUAUUCCCCCAAAGCUGCGGUUGAUGAAUUUCUUAUGAGCGUGUGUCGGCCUUCACUACGCGAAGAAGAAGGCGAUUUUCGGAAAAGAAGCAAGGGACUUUUUGUUUGACUGAUUCCUUUGGUGCCAGUGCUGUGAUUUUAUGGUAUACAGUGAAGCCUGCUCCAGUAGCCUGUCAACAGGAAGCACUGGGGAGUAGUGCGAGGUUUACCCUGACUGGUGUUGGAUGGAGGACUCCCACAAUGUGUUCACUGGGACACCAGUACACACGGAAAUGUGCCCUGCUGGAGAAACAGGAGGUGAGUGGAGAUUCUGUGGAUUCUGAUGGCUUUUUGUUUUAGUGUCAAACUUUUACACUGAGUGGGCAGUUAAAAGGGAGUUAUUGCACUUUAAGAGAUUAGAGGUGACAAAGCUAAUUGUGACGGCGUAAGUCGAACAUGCACACCUCUUCUGACCUUUACUCAGGCUAUGAGAAGUAAGUGGCUCACAAGAAGAACCCCAUUAAAAAAUAAAUAGAGGUGCUUUAUGAAAAGGUCAGGACACAUGUUUCCGAAAAAAUGUAUUAAUCUCCCAGCCAAGAGCAAUAGACUUAAUUCUAAUUUGUAAAAGGGAAAAGGAGACGGGGUAAUAUAACAUGUUUGUUUCUGUUCAGGCACUUUUUCAAUAUCUCUUAUUUACAACAUGAGCUGUGUUUCUGUUCGGUAUGAGCAUAAAUAUCGAUAUGUGUCACUGUGCUCACUAUCCUUCAGCCAGGCCGCUUGAAGGCGGGUAAUGCUUGUGAUAUACCACAUUAUACCCUAGUUUAAUCGCUGCAGAUAGUGAGGAGUCUCACAGAGACUCUCCCUUCUGAGCUCUCGUGACUUGUUCUUUACCAAAUGCUGUCAAAUAAAUGGCAGCUGUACACAAGCGGCCAUCAUAGUGUCCAUCUCCCUCCCUAAUUCUUUCCAUGCUCUUCGCAGUCACAGAGGAAAUUCCUGGCUCACUAUUUCAAUUCAGGCCUUCUAUAUGAAUGCCAGUAAUGUGCUUUCAUUGAGUAGACUGUGCAUGUGUUGGAUUUUUUUUUUGUUGUUGUUAUUCUGAAUUACGAGUUCUAAAACCUCACUGCCUUCAAAAUCGCACGGCUGGACAAACAGGAGACUCAAGAAUGCCGUAAUGAAGACCAAGUUAUUCAUACACUUGUUGGUAUGUUGUUAUUUCAAAAUUUUAUACAAGGAAAAACUGAAAAUGUGACACAGUCAUGAAUUUGGUUUUCAUGUAAAAGCAGUCAUAUCCAUAAUAUUUAUUCAUAAUAUCUUUUUCUCACUUUCUAAACUUUUCUCAAUUUCUUUUCCUGCUUUACAGAGUGGCACUAAAGUUUGCCUUGUCAAUAAUAAUGUAUUAAAUCUACCCAUAUAAAGGAAAGAAGUUAUAGUCUGCAUCACACAUCCAAACCACCUUCUACUCUUAUCUGGGGGGGGGUGGUUGGAUGUGAUGCCAGUCACCUCAAUAUGCAUGUCUUUCUAUGUGCUAGGACUAUGUGAUUAUAUGACCUAAAACUGCAUGUACUGCGUGGUUAUUGUCUGUAUGUAAUGUAAUGCCUUCCAGGGACAGUACACGACUCUGCCAUGCAUGCUACUUGUUAGGUCACGUGACAUGUCGGUCACGCUUUAUUGGCUGGAAAGUUCAUGCACCUAAUCAGCAUCGGCUAAACACCAAAGGGACAGAAUGCUCUCCUUUCCACCCCGAGCUUCUCCUGGAGACCUCAGCCUUCGAGGUGAGGCGUGUAAAUCAUGUGCUGGACCGGGAAGGGUUGAGGCCCGUUGUCCGUUUUGAUUUUCCUGUCGCCUGUUGUAUAGGUGUUUGUAGCAGACAGGGCCAUUAUGAUAAAGUGAUUGGAUUCAGGGGGAAUUGCCUGUACUUUGGUAAUGAUGUAGAGCACCAUCCGUCAUGUUUACACCUCGAUGGGAGGUAAUAAAGCUGUGCGAUAUUGCUGCUUGUCAGAGUGGAUGUUCUGUGUCGGUACUGGGGACGGAGGGGAAAAAAACGGGGUUCUGUCAGUGCAUCGUCUGUGUGGUGAUUAUAUUUUACUCACAGUGAGCUUCAAACCGAAACCAUUUCAUAGUUUUCGACUGGAAAAUGCCUCAGGGAAUCUGAGAGAGAAAUAACAGGCAGUUCUGCAGAAGGAGGGGGAGGGUGGCCCCACCACACUUUCAGAAAGAUGACAUUUGUCCCCCCCCCCCAUCAAUUUAGUUCAAAACAGGACGUGGAGUCGAUGUAUCACAUCACAGCUCAUCUAAAACCACAUGGAAACAAUAUCUUGCAAUCUCCUGAAAAGGUUACAGAUGCUGUAUUUGCAACAAUAAAAAUUAAUUGGUUUUUCUGUU
Non-coding RNA from Paramormyrops kingsleyae, 2552 nucleotides. NCBI's taxonomy places the organism in Eukaryota, Metazoa, Chordata, Actinopteri, Osteoglossiformes, Mormyridae. The record is from RefSeq and is a predicted model, not a curated record.